UGGAUCAGGCGGAUCCCAAUCAAACCAAAAGAUCAAGCCGGUUUGCAUCAAUUGGCCAAACCGACAUCAUUUAAGGAAAGUCUUCAACCAAUUCAACUUGGUUCGACCCAGGGCUAUCUAUGGGAACCAGGAGAUACUCUAGACCAUUAAGAAGACAUCCAAGACGUCCUCAGCUGGACCAGCACCCAGGAGAUCAGGCGGAUCUCUCUUCCCAUCAACCUUCCAUAUUUGGCAACAUCUACACUAAAUGCUUUGGAGAAGUUUCUACAGAUUUUUGCCCAAGACCAACGGCCAUAUUCUCUUUUACUGAGGCCAAGGAGUAUUUUAGGAAGGCUUGAAGAUCAUGGCCACGUCCAGAAGCUAUCAAGAUACAAGUCUUCACAAGUUUCUCUUUUGGAAGGAAGCAAAUCAAGCCUAACGGCUAUAUUCCAUGGAGUCAUCAAAGCCUUUGCUCCCAAGACUUUAAGUUCAAGUUAUUUUGUUUCCUUUUAUCAUUUUAUGACUGUUAGAGUCUGUCCUUGUCGAGCCUAUAAAGCUCUAGUCUUUGCUUCAUUGUAAAUCACCCAUUUUUGAAAGUAAUAAGAAUUAUUCAGUUUUCUAGUUUUCUUAAAACUAUUGUUCUAAGUCUUUUGAGUUUGUGUGAAGCAGCUCCAAAGCACCUUGACUUAUCAAGGCUCCUUUCCAUAGAGUCUUGUGGCGUCCUCAAUCCCCCAUCCUUCCACUCCAAUUCGUUUGCCAAGCUUGAGAGAGACAUCAGUCCAGCAAGCAAAGCACCACCUCAAUCCACUUCAAUCAUAUUUUGAUCAAGCUGAGAGUGUUACACAACCAGCAGCUUGAUUCCAUCCUAUCUAUCUUUAUUUAUCUUGUUUUAUCAUAUUAGAAAUCAUAUCUCAUUUGUUUUUGCAUUUGUUUUCAGGUUCAUAACUCGCAUUCCAUCAUAUCGCCCAUCCGAUCAUCUCUUUGGUCGACCCAUCCAAGCUUCCAUCAUCCAUCUUGCCCACCCUGAAUCCCAGCCUGCAACAUUUGGUAUCAGAGCUUAAGCUCCUGAAUCAGGUCCAUUCUAUCCUUGCAUCAUUCAUCUUGUUUGCAUUUGUUUUUCCAUUUAUAAAUCAAAAAAAAAAAAAAACUGUUUUUGCAUUUUUGUGUUCUUUGUUCAUCAUAAAUUGAAAAGCCAUAAAGAGUUGAGAUAGGAGACGACCUGUUGUCUAGUUUGAUUCAUUUCAUCCAUAAAAAGAAAAGAAAAACGUGUUUGCAUUCAUUCCCCAGCUCCACUUUCCAUUUUUUGAUUUUGUGCAUUCAUUUCAAAAAAAAAAAAAAGAUCUGCAUUUUCACAGUUGUUUCUUGCUUAAAAAAAAUAAAUAAAAAGUCAUACCAUUUUUAAUUUCGUGCAUACCAUAUUUGUUUCAUAAGUUUGUUAUUUGCAUUCAAAAAAAAAAAAAUCAUUCAGCUUAGUUUAUAUCAUUUUGGGUUCAAGUAUACAUUUUAGUUUCCAUUUUCGGUGUUUUUGCAUUUCAUCUUAAGAAAAUUCAAAAAAAAAUCAGUGUUAGUUUAAUUUCCAUAUUUUCUGCCCAUUUUUGUUUCUUUUCAUACCAUAUUGUUUAAUUUCGAAAUUGCAUUCAGAAAACCAAAAGAAAAAUCAUUUUAGUAUAGUUACUUCAUUUCGGUUCAUAAUUGCAUAUUUUCUCGGUUUAGUUAAAUUGCAUUUGUUUUAUUUUGGUUAGACCAAAAGUUUCCAUACCUUCACUUUUUCUUUGAGAUUGUUUUCAGGAAGCAAUGGAGGAGGAGAGACACGGCCAAAACCUAAGGGCCACCUUGAGCCAACAGUCCGCAGCUCUACAAAAGCUCCAAAUUAAGAUUGCUCAAUUGGAGAAAAUAAAUCAGGCACAAGGCCAACGUCCACAUGAAGGAGAAAGGAGAUUUGGAAAUGUACCAGGGGCAGUCUACGUCGAACCCAAGCCACCAGAUCCUUCAAGGAUCAAUCAAACUCCAACUUCUAAAACCCACAACCCUUAUGUUGUUAAUUCUCGGUUUGAUUAUAACUCUUUUGCUGAUAAAGUUGAACUCUUUAAAUUUUCAGGAAAAAGAGGUUAUCUAAGAUGGGAGAGGAACCUUGAUGAAUGGUUUCACUACAACAACAUCCUGAGGAAAGAGAGGCUAGCUUAUGCCAUUGAUCAACUAAAAGAUGAUGCUUUUAAAUGGUGGGUACAAGAAGAGGAUGAUAGAUGGUUUUACAAGGAGCCAGCUAUCAAAACGUGGAGAGCUCUUAAGGAAGUCAUGAGGGAUAGAUUUGCACCAGAUUAUACAAGGUCUGAAAUCCAGGAACUAUAUCCAAGGAGAUAUCCAACUCAUGGUUCCAAAGAAGCAAGGAAAAUUGUGGAACAAGAAGUUCAAAGAGUCUUGCCUAAAGAAGCCAACUUUCAGCCAAACCAGGGGCACGCCAUUGUCCACUGCUUAGAGCAGGAGAGUGACAUCCCAAAGGUCAGGAAGAUGAGUACAAGUGUCGGCCAAAACACUUUGAUCAGGUCCAAAGACAAACCAGAGCAAGUUAUUGUCCAAGUAAAGGCUAAGGUAAGUCCUAUACAUGAUAAAUCUUUUCAUAAAUCAUCUACCACUUGUAUGAUGCACUUGUCUUUGUCCAAGAGUGUUAUUACAGGUCUAAAGGAGCCUAGGUACAUAGAAGAAGAGGCGCCAGGCACAAACCUUCCCAUGGACCAGAAGGAAGCUCAAAGCACAAAGCAAUCAAAGUUGCUUAAUAAACCAAAACCAGUGAUCCAAGUAUCAAACCAAGGUAAGUGUCUAACACCACCUUUAGAUACUGGUUUAAACAUUUAUAUUCUUGGUACAGGGAUACCAGAUGAGAGCCAUAUGCUUACUGGAGUUCCAAGUGCCGAACCAGAUCAUGAGCUCAAUCAAAAUCCACACCAUAAGUGGAAACCGAAAUCUGAACAAUGUACUGUUCAAGUGCCAAAAUCUGAGGUAAAAUUCACUUUAAACCAGAAUGUUUUUAUUGAUUCUAUGACAAGAUUAAUGCACUUGUCUUGUCCAAGGAAAAGUGAAAUUGGUACAGGAAAGCAAGGUUACUACAAGGCAAACAAAGAACAAGAAGUUCUUACUGCCACAUUUGACAUUAAGGUUAAUUGUUCUAUGUUUUCUUCAGUUUAUAAAUCCCUAUACUUUGGUAUAAUACACUUGUCUUCGCCAAGAUGUUUUGAUCCAGGGAUAAGUCAAGAAGAACAUAAAAACCGAGCUGAGCUAUCACAAGAAGAUGGUUAUACCAACCAAGGUAAACAUUUGCAAGAAAGGCAGCCAUCUAACCAAAUCUGUCCAAAGAAGAAUAUCAUUCUUCAUCAUGCUGAUGCACCCAAGGUAAAUUCGACCAUAACAAAUUCUGUUCAUGAAAUUCCAGUAUCAGAUAUAAUUCACAUGGUCUUUGUCCAAAAUGUUGAAAAAUUUUCAGGUUGCAAAGAAGAAAGCUUCAAAGAAAUCCCACCGGAUAAUCUUUUGUUGCUAGGAGGAUCAAACCCAAAGAUGGUCAGAACUGAGCCUGCUAGGAGUAUGAAGGACCAUCCACUGAAGAAGAGAAGGAAUGCAAAAUUCCAUAUCAGAGGCGUGAUCCUAUCCUAUUUGGUGAAAGAAGAGCCACCUGAUGAACAAUCCAUCCCCAAACCAAAACAAUAUCAAGGUAAGACCUUAGAAUCUGAAAAGAGUAUGAAAGCUGACUUGCUCUAUCUUGGUGCAGGUUAUACAGUUUCGAGGUCGAAACCUUUUCAAGGGGGAGGGAAUGUUGCGGCCAGCAAUUCAGCAGCUGAACCAGCGGUCGACCCAACACCCUACUCAACCAGCCAAGGCGCCAACCAGGACAUACGUGCACUAAAAUGCCAUAUAUUACAAACCAGGAGGGUUUAAAUCACGAGGAUAAUUUUUAUGGAUUCUACACUCAAGAAGGAGUCCAGACCAAUUGGAAUCUGCCCAAAAUAUUCAGGGAGCAAGAAGUUAUGAAAUUUUGGAAGGGGUUCUAAGUCAUUCAGAGGAACUCUACAAUAUUCAGGGACCAAUUGGAAGGGGUUCUAAGUCAUUCAGAGGAACUCUACAACAUCAUAGGAAGCACCAUGCCACACUGGAUCAGGCGGAUCCCAAUCAAACCAAAAGAUCAAGCCGGUUUGCAUCAAUUGGCCAAACCGACAUCAUUUAAGGAAAGUCUUCAACCAAUUCAACUUGGUUCGACCCAGGGCUAUCUAUGGGAACCAGGAGAUACUCUAGACCAUUCAGAAGACAUCCAAGACGUUCUCAGCUGGACCAGCACCCAGGAGAUCAGGCGGAUCUCUCUUCCCAUCAACCUUCCAUAUUUGGCAACAUCUACACUAAAUGCUUUGGAGAAGUUUCUACAGAUUUUUGCCCAAGACCAACGGCCAUAUUCUCUUUUACUGAGGCCAAGGAGUAUUUUAGGA
This 4448-nucleotide long non-coding RNA is filed under the name Brassica rapa (field mustard). Its description in RNAcentral is "long non-coding RNA (BRAP_LNC008241)". Lineage: Eukaryota; Viridiplantae; Streptophyta; Magnoliopsida; Brassicales; Brassicaceae. The record is from RNAcentral.